RNAcentral lists this ribosomal RNA (251 nucleotides) under uncultured prokaryote. RNAcentral describes it as "partial 16S rRNA". It matches the Rfam family "Bacterial small subunit ribosomal RNA", at positions 525 to 775 of the family's 1533-position model. The record is from RNAcentral.
ACGGGGGAUGCAAGCGUUAUCCGGAUUUAUUGGGUUUAAAGGGUGCGUAGGCGGUUUGAUAAGUCAGCGGUGAAAUAUUUCAGCUUAACUGAAAGGGGGCAGUUGAUACUGUCAGACUUGAAUAGGGUUGCUGUUGGUGGAAUGUGUGGAGUAGCGGUAAAAUGCUUAGAUAUGACACGGAAUAUCGAUUGCGAAGGCUGCACACAAAGCCAUUAUUGACGCUGAUGCAGCAAAGUGUGGUGAUCUUACAG